This 137-nucleotide ribosomal RNA is filed under the name uncultured bacterium. Its description in RNAcentral is "partial 16S ribosomal RNA". It matches the Rfam family "Bacterial small subunit ribosomal RNA", at positions 355 to 507 of the family's 1533-position model. The record is from RNAcentral.
UGGGGAAUUUUGCGCAAUGGGCGAAAGCCUGACGCAGCGACGCCGCGUGCGGGAUGACGGUCUUCGGAUUGUAAACCGCUGUCGGGAGGGACGAAGCUCUGACGGUACCUCCAGAGGAAGCACCGGCUAACUCCGUG